RNAcentral lists this ribosomal RNA (764 nucleotides) under Lactobacillus delbrueckii subsp. bulgaricus. Its description in RNAcentral is "bacterial SSU rRNA". It matches the Rfam family "Bacterial small subunit ribosomal RNA", at positions 779 to 1533 of the family's 1533-position model. The record is from RNAcentral. Lineage: Bacteria; Bacillati; Bacillota; Bacilli; Lactobacillales; Lactobacillaceae.
UAGAUACCCUGGUAGUCCAUGCCGUAAACGAUGAGCGCUAGGUGUUGGGGACUUUCCGGUCCUCAGUGCCGCAGCAAACGCAUUAAGCGCUCCGCCUGGGGAGUACGACCGCAAGGUUGAAACUCAAAGGAAUUGACGGGGGCCCGCACAAGCGGUGGAGCAUGUGGUUUAAUUCGAAGCAACGCGAAGAACCUUACCAGGUCUUGACAUCCUGUGCUACACCUAGAGAUAGGUGGUUCCCUUCGGGGACGCAGAGACAGGUGGUGCAUGGCUGUCGUCAGCUCGUGUCGUGAGAUGUUGGGUUAAGUCCCGCAACGAGCGCAACCCUUGUCUUUAGUUGCCAUCAUUAAGUUGGGCACUCUAAAGAGACUGCCGGUGACAAACCGGAGGAAGGUGGGGAUGACGUCAAGUCAUCAUGCCCCUUAUGACCUGGGCUACACACGUGCUACAAUGGGCAGUACAACGAGAAGCGAACCCGCGAGGGUAAGCGGAUCUCUUAAAGCUGUUCUCAGUUCGGACUGCAGGCUGCAACUCGCCUGCACGAAGCUGGAAUCGCUAGUAAUCGCGGAUCAGCACGCCGCGGUGAAUACGUUCCCGGGCCUUGUACACACCGCCCGUCACACCAUGGAAGUCUGCAAUGCCCAAAGUCGGUGGGAUAACCUUUAUAGGAGUCAGCCGCCUAAGGCAGGGCAGAUGACUGGGGUGAAGUCGUAACAAGGUAGCCGUAGGAGAACCUGCGGCUGGAUCACCUCCUUUCUAAGGAA